This 1186-nucleotide ribosomal RNA is filed under the name Limosilactobacillus fermentum. RNAcentral's name for it is "bacterial SSU rRNA". It matches the Rfam family "Bacterial small subunit ribosomal RNA", at positions 290 to 1468 of the family's 1533-position model. The record is from RNAcentral. Lineage: Bacteria; Bacillati; Bacillota; Bacilli; Lactobacillales; Lactobacillaceae.
GGUUGAGAGACUGAUCGGCCACAAUGGGACUGAGACACGGCCCAUACUCCUACGGGAGGCAGCAGUAGGGAAUCUUCCACAAUGGGCGCAAGCCUGAUGGAGCAACACCGCGUGAGUGAAGAAGGGUUUCGGCUCGUAAAGCUCUGUUGUUAAAGAAGAACACGUAUGAGAGUAACUGUUCAUACGUUGACGGUAUUUAACCAGAAAGUCACGGCUAACUACGUGCCAGCAGCCGCGGUAAUACGUAGGUGGCAAGCGUUAUCCGGAUUUAUUGGGCGUAAAGAGAGUGCAGGCGGUUUUCUAAGUCUGAUGUGAAAGCCUUCGGCUUAACCGGAGAAGUGCAUCGGAAACUGGAUAACUUGAGUGCAGAAGAGGGUAGUGGAACUCCAUGUGUAGCGGUGGAAUGCGUAGAUAUAUGGAAGAACACCAGUGGCGAAGGCGGCUACCUGGUCUGCAACUGACGCUGAGACUCGAAAGCAUGGGUAGCGAACAGGAUUAGAUACCCUGGUAGUCCAUGCCGUAAACGAUGAGUGCUAGGUGUUGGAGGGUUUCCGCCCUUCAGUGCCGGAGCUAACGCAUUAAGCACUCCGCCUGGGGAGUACGACCGCAAGGUUGAAACUCAAAGGAAUUGACGGGGGCCCGCACAAGCGGUGGAGCAUGUGGUUUAAUUCGAAGCUACGCGAAGAACCUUACCAGGUCUUGACAUCUUGCGCCAACCCUAGAGAUAGGGCGUUUCCUUCGGGAACGCAAUGACAGGUGGUGCAUGGUCGUCGUCAGCUCGUGUCGUGAGAUGUUGGGUUAAGUCCCGCAACGAGCGCAACCCUUGUUACUAGUUGCCAGCAUUAAGUUGGGCACUCUAGUGAGACUGCCGGUGACAAACCGGAGGAAGGUGGGGACGACGUCAGAUCAUCAUGCCCCUUAUGACCUGGGCUACACACGUGCUACAAUGGACGGUACAACGAGUCGCGAACUCGCGAGGGCAAGCAAAUCUCUUAAAACCGUUCUCAGUUCGGACUGCAGGCUGCAACUCGCCUGCACGAAGUCGGAAUCCUAGUAAUCGCGGAUCAGCAUGCCGCGGUGAAUACGUUCCCGGGCCUUGUACACACCGCCCGUCACACCAUGAUAGUUUUACACCCAUCUUCUUUUUUCCUCCUCCCCGCGCCUUCCCCCCUCCCGCUCCGGUCCA